Molecule: ribosomal RNA, 284 nt
Filed under: uncultured bacterium
Lineage: Bacteria
Description: partial 16S ribosomal RNA
Rfam family: Bacterial small subunit ribosomal RNA
Source: RNAcentral
AUUGAACGCUGGCGGCAUGCCUUACACAUGCAAGUCGAACGGCAGCACGGGAGCAAUCCUGGUGGCGAGUGGCGAACGGGUGAGUAAUAUAUCGGAACGUGCCCGGUCGUGGGGGAUAACGUAGCGAAAGCUACGCUAAUACCGCAUACGAUCUACGGAUGAAAGCGGGGGAUCGCAAGACCUCGCGCGAUUGGAGCGGCCGAUAUCAGAUUAGGUAGUUGGUGAGGUAAAGGCUCACCAAGCCGACGAUCUGUAGCUGGUCCAGAGGACGGACCACGCACACU